RNAcentral lists this transfer RNA (72 nucleotides) under Callithrix jacchus (white-tufted-ear marmoset). Its description in RNAcentral is "tRNA-Cys (GCA) (tRNA-Cys-GCA-5-1)". It matches the Rfam family "tRNA". Rfam says of the family: Transfer RNA (tRNA) molecules are approximately 80 nucleotides in length. Lineage: Eukaryota; Metazoa; Chordata; Mammalia; Primates; Cebidae. The record is from Rfam by way of RNAcentral.
GGGGGCAUAGCUCAAUGGUAGAGCAUUUGACUGCAGAUCAAAAGGUCCCUGGUUCAAAUCCAGGUGCCCCUU